RNAcentral lists this transfer RNA (75 nucleotides) under Schistocerca americana (American grasshopper). Its description in RNAcentral is "tRNA-Leu". It matches the Rfam family "tRNA". Rfam says of the family: Transfer RNA (tRNA) molecules are approximately 80 nucleotides in length. Their secondary structure includes four short double-helical elements and three loops (D, anti-codon, and T loops). Further hydrogen bonds mediate the characteristic L-shaped molecular structure. tRNAs have two regions of fundamental functional importance: the anti-codon, which is responsible for specific mRNA codon recognition, and the 3' end, to which the tRNAs corresponding amino acid is attached (by aminoacyl-tRNA synthetases). tRNAs cope with the degeneracy of the genetic code in two manners: having more than one tRNA (with a specific anti-codon) for a particular amino acid; and 'wobble' base-pairing, i.e. permitting non-standard base-pairing at the 3rd anti-codon position. The record is from RNAcentral. Lineage: Eukaryota; Metazoa; Arthropoda; Insecta; Orthoptera; Acrididae. RNAcentral also lists the same sequence under 1 other name.
UGCUUGGGUAGCUCAGUUGGUAGAGCACUUGCCCGCAAAAGGCAAAGGUCCCGAGUUCGAGUCUCGGUCCGGCAG